GAAUUUGAUCUUGGUUCAGGAUGAACGCUGGCGGCGUGCCUAACACAUGCAAGUCGAACGGAGUUAUAUAACGGAAGUUUUCGGAUGGAAGAUAUGUAACUUAGUGGCGGACGGGUGAGUAACGCGUGGGCAACCUGCCCUGUACCGGGGGAUAACACUUAGAAAUAGGUGCUAAUACCGCAUAAGCGCACAGCUUCGCAUGAAGCAGUGUGAAAAACUCCGGUGGUACAGGAUGGACCCGCGUCUGAUUAGCUAGUUGGUGGGGUAGAGGCCCACCAAGGCGACGAUCAGUAGCCGGCCUGAGAGGGUGACCGGCCACAUUGGGACUGAGACACGGCCCAAACUCCUACGGGAGGCAGCAGUGGGGAAUAUUGCACAAUGGGGGAAACCCUGAUGCAAGCGACGCCGCGUGAGUGAAGAAGUAUUUCGGUACGUAAAGCUCUAUCAGCAGGGAAGAAAAUGACGGUACCUGACUAAGAAGCCCCGGCUAACUACGUGCCAGCAGCAGC
RNAcentral lists this ribosomal RNA (509 nucleotides) under uncultured bacterium. Its description in RNAcentral is "bacterial SSU rRNA". It matches the Rfam family "Bacterial small subunit ribosomal RNA", at positions 9 to 518 of the family's 1533-position model. The record is from RNAcentral.